GAUGGGUGGUCACCGUGC
Molecule: unclassified non-coding RNA, 18 nt
Filed under: Chlamydomonas reinhardtii
Lineage: Eukaryota; Viridiplantae; Chlorophyta; Chlorophyceae; Chlamydomonadales; Chlamydomonadaceae
Description: small RNA Cre_1642
Source: RNAcentral